This 253-nucleotide ribosomal RNA is filed under the name uncultured bacterium. RNAcentral's name for it is "partial 16S ribosomal RNA". It matches the Rfam family "Bacterial small subunit ribosomal RNA", at positions 524 to 776 of the family's 1533-position model. The record is from RNAcentral.
UACGUAGGGGGCUAGCGUUGUCCGGAAUCAUUGGGCGUAAAGAGCGUGUAGGCGGCCCGGUAAGUCCGCCGUCAAAUCCCAGGGCUCAACUCUGGACAGGCGGUGGAAACUACCAAGCUGGAGUACGGUAGGGGCAGAGGGGAUUUCCGGUGGAGCGGUGAAAUGCGUAGAGAUCCGGAGGAACACCAGUGGCGAAAGCGGCCACCUGGACUGCACCUGACGCUGAAACGCGAAAGCUAGGGGAGCGAACGGG